AUUGAACGCUGGCGGCAGGCCUAACACAUGCAAGUCGAGCGGAUGAAGGGAGCUUGCUCCUGGAUUCAGCGGCGGACGGGUGAGUAAUGCCUAGGAAUCUGCCUGGUAGUGGGGGAUAACGUCCGGAAACGGGCGCUAAUACCGCACACGUCCUGAGGGAGAAAGUGGGGGUUCUUGGGACCUCACGCUAUUAGAUGAGCCUAGGUCGGAUUAGCUAGUUGGUGGGGUAAAGGCCUACCAAGGCGACGAUCCGUAACUGGUCUGAGAGGAUGAUCAGUCACACUGGAACUGAGACACGGUCCAGACUCCUACGGGAGGCGGCAGUGGGGAAUAUUGGACAAUGGGCGAAAGCCUGAUCCAGCCAUGCCGCGUGUGUGAAGAAGGUCUUCGGAUUGUAAAGCACUUUAAGUUGGGAGGAAGGGCAGUAAGUUAAUACCUUGCUGUUUUGACGUUACCAACAGAAUAAGCACCGGCUAACUUCGUG
Molecule: ribosomal RNA, 484 nt
Filed under: uncultured bacterium
Lineage: Bacteria
Description: partial 16S ribosomal RNA
Rfam family: Bacterial small subunit ribosomal RNA
Source: RNAcentral